RNAcentral lists this unclassified non-coding RNA (158 nucleotides) under rhizosphere metagenome. Its description in RNAcentral is "partial ribosomal RNA internal transcribed spacer region". The record is from RNAcentral.
GAAGAAAUAAGGGUGCUUUCGAGACCCGACUCUCAUUAUUAUUACCCUGUGCAUUAAACUUUUUUUUAAAUUUAAACACUAUCAGUUUUGAAUGUAAUCAGCUUGUUUUAACAAGUAAAUAACAAAAUAAAACUUUCAGCAACGGAUCUCUUGGCUCU